UUUGGGUGAGACAAAUCAAUUCGUUAGUAGCAAAAUCUCUUUCACAAAAGAUAUUGAUUAUGGAUUUGACUCCAUGAUACCUUGUGGUUCUUUGGAUAAUUUGCAUUUCAAGGUAAUUUGACGUUCUUUUCUGCAGAUACAAAUCAUCCUCUGAGGAGGUUGCAACAACUUUUGAUGUCACAUUUGCCAUGCUUUCAGACCCUGAGAGUGCAGCGGAUGUUGCUUGUGAAAAAUAUGGAGCUGCAAAAGGAAUGGGUCCAGGAAAAGGGUGGUGUGAGCUUGUAUAACUAAUGCAGUUUUUAUUUGCUACAUACAGAAGAAAUUCAAAUGGCUCCCUCACUAUACUGAUGCUAUAAGACGUAAUUUUGAGAAAAUGGCAUCUGCAAGGAUGACACAACUUUUUCAAGAUGUUAGGAAAAAUUUGCCUCUGAAAUCAAUGAAAUCACACAAAGUGAGAUGUGGCUAAGGUUUUUCCUGAAAUUUGUGUGGUGUAUCAAGUUUAUUCAUUCAUAAUUUUGGUCAAGUUUGAACGUAUACAACACACCAUCUUCAAAUGGACAAUCAUCUCAAGAAGACAAUCACGCUCAUGAUGAGGAUGAAAGUGGUGAUGAC
This is a long non-coding RNA of Solanum stenotomum, 612 nucleotides long. RefSeq lists it as uncharacterized. NCBI's taxonomy places the organism in Eukaryota, Viridiplantae, Streptophyta, Magnoliopsida, Solanales, Solanaceae. The record is from RefSeq and is a predicted model, not a curated record. The transcript is spliced from 3 exons.